GGCAAGUGGUUGUCGGACACUGAUAGAAGAAGUAGGAGAAACAGUAACAGAACAAAGCCAGAAGCAAUCCCGUUGCGCUGGAAUUGAGCAUUAGGCUCUGUCUCGCGAAGAAACGGAGACUCAAAAAGCUUAAGCAGCUUGCUGGUGCGACGCAACCGGAUGGAUGAGAUCGGAUGCUAAUCAUAGUCCCCAGGAAGGGAAAGCCCCACGCGUUCCUCCCAAUGCAAAUCAUUCGAUUACAGCUACCGGGCCUUUGCUCACGCCGUUUCCCCCACAUCAAAUACCCACUCACCCUAGACCAAGCCAAAGACCACCUCCAGAAAACCUCCCCGACUUCACCCUCCACCCAUUUGCCCCCCAGGCAGCGUUUUUCCCGCUUGGGGCUCUCACUGUGUCCCCUUGUGUCCCCGCUCUGAUCAUCCUGUAUCAUUCCUGUUCAAGUGUCCAUUUCUGUUUCUGUCCCCCACCCUUCAAGACUGACAGCCCUUUGAGGGACGGUGCGUCGUCCCGCAGAGGGCCUGGAUUCGAGAGAUCUCAGAAAGGGAAAGCUCCUAUCUGGGAAUUCUCAUUCUUAAAGUGGGAUGAUGUGAACUUCUGUAGAAAAUUCAUAUUCAGAGUAGCUGCUAAGGCUGAAAACUUUGUAUAAUCCUGGGUUCCCUGUUCCCAAUCCUAGCAUGCCUGCAUCAGGUCCUGAUGGUUCUUCCUCCAACACACGCCGUAAACCCCCAUCCACAUGUUCUCAUCCCCACUACCCCACCCUCUUGGAAGAUAGCAGCCUCCUCCCUGGGCUUUCUGCUUCCACUCUCGGUUUUCACUGCAAUCCAUUCUCCAAACUGCAGAUACAGUGCUCACCUUAUAUUUUUUUCUUUGCUUAAAACAACAAUAAACACUUAUUAUCUGAGA
Long non-coding RNA from Manis javanica (Malayan pangolin), 903 nucleotides. RefSeq lists it as uncharacterized. Lineage: Eukaryota; Metazoa; Chordata; Mammalia; Pholidota; Manidae. The record is from RefSeq and is a predicted model, not a curated record.